This is a non-coding RNA of Pimephales promelas (fathead minnow), 2294 nucleotides long. NCBI's taxonomy places the organism in Eukaryota, Metazoa, Chordata, Actinopteri, Cypriniformes, Leuciscidae. The record is from RefSeq and is a predicted model, not a curated record.
AUGUUUGUUUUUAUAUCUGAUGUUUCCAUACCUGAUGAUCGUGUGCUUUUGCGUCCGUCUCAGGCACAAGACCCGCAGAUGUUGGAUCAGCUGUCCAAAAACAUCACCAGAUGCGGCCUGUCAAACUCCACCCUCAACUACCUCAGAUUGUGUGUAAUCCUGGAGCCCAUGCAGGAGCUGAUGUCCAGGCACAAGACGUACAGUCUGAGUCCCCGGGACUGUCUGAAGACGUGUUUGUUCCAGAAGUGGCAGCGGAUGGUGGCUCCACCAGCGGAACCUGCCAGACAGGCACCCAGUAAGAGACGGAAGCGCAAGAUGUCGGGCGGCAGCACCAUGAGCGCAGGCGGAGGAACCAACAACAACAGCAACAGCAAGAAGAAGAGCCCAGCGAACAGCUUCCCCCUGUCCAGUCAGGUGCCUGGAUGGUUGGUUGUUGGCGAGCCGACGCUGAUGGGCGGCGAGUUCGGAGACGAGGACGAGCGUUUGAUCACGCGGCUCGAGAACACGCAGUUUGACGCCGCUAACGGCAUCGACGACGAGGACAGCUUUAACAACUCGCCCGCGCUGGCGCUAACAGCCCCUGGAACAACAAGCCCCCGUCCAGCCAGGAGGGCAAGAACGACAACCCCACCUCACAGGCGUCUCAGUGAGACCCGCGGGGGCGGGGCCGACCCGGCGUCCAAUGGGAAGAAAGAGGCGUGGUCGAAGAUCGACUCAUUCAUCUACCUGCAGAACGACUCUUCCUGUCAGCAGAGGAAAUGAACCUGAAGGAUCAGAGAUGACAUCAGACGCACAGGGCUCGUGGUUUUGUUGGUGUUUUACGGGAGGACACUCCUGAUAGAUCACAUGAUUAAGUUAAGACGGAACGUAAACCGCCAACAAGACCAACCAACAUCCAGCUCCUGUUUCACCCCAGAAUCACUGCAUUUCUGCAUGUUGGACAUAUGCAUAUUUUUAAUAUUAACCAUGAUUAGAAUUUUGCAUUAUAACACUGGACUGCAGUGACCGAAACUGUCCGAUUCAUUUUAAAUCAACACUUUACUUAAAGCAUUCAUAUAUAGUGCAGUAUGAAAGGGUUUUUAAUGCAUUAAUUAUGCAACUUAUAUAUGUCACAUCUUCAGAAAGUAUAAUGCAUUAAAACAACCAGGAUUCUGAAAAUAUUACAAUGCAUUAGAACACAUUUUAUUUAAAGGUAUAUAUAGAUAGAUAUAUGAAAGUAUUUUUAAUGCAUUAAUUAUUCUUUGUAUUGCAACUUAUGGUUGCUUAAAACAACCAGGAUUCUGAAAAUAUUAUAAAUAAUAUUAUAUAUAACGCAUCAUAAUGCUUUAAGCAAAGUGUUAUCAAAACUAGUGUUCGAUUUAAAUGAAUCUUUUUCUGUUGCUUUGCAUUAGUUUUCGCAGGAGAUAAUGUUUAAUUGCAAACAAAAGUUCUCUUUCAGCAACAUUCAUUUCUUUUGUGUGUUUGUGUUGAUUUGGGAGUGAAACGUGAGCUGGCCGUGUUCUGCUCUCUGAUUGGUGGAGGGACAGCGUUCGCAUGAAGAAGAGCGUUUCAACUCAGACACGUUUUGGAGAAUUGUAUCCGUGUUUUAUACCAGCCUCGAUUUCCCUAGAAUGUUUUUAUUUGCCUUUUCUUUUUCUUUCUGCCGAUGUUGAAAGCUGCAAACCAAGGAGUAACAGAGCCGUCAAGGUCCUUAAAGAUCGACCUCAGCCCUCAGAUUCUAUUGGUUUGUGUUAUUUUUGAAGAGAGUGGUUUAGCGUGGGCUUUCGGUUGAGUUUUGUGUACUUGUGCUUGUAUAUUUAAGGUAGUAGCAGAGUUCUGUAUAACUGUAUUGAGAUGUAUUCCUCCUUAGAGUUCCAUAAAGCCAUUCUGAUCUAAUGUGUAAAAGAGAAACACAUGAACCUCGUCUUUCCCCUUCUUUGAUUUGUGUGAAAUCAAGGGCACAAUCUGUGUUUGUUUCAGAUCCGGACGCUUUAAACACAUGUUUUCUGUGUUUUCUUCACACACACACGAACUGUUCCACUGGACUCCGUUAACUAGUUGCUGGUUGGUUUGUUUUCCUCGCACACCCGAUAAUGCUGAAGCCUUUGAACUCGAUUUUUGUACUAUUUUUUGAUUCGUUUCUCUCUCUCUGACCAGCUGAAUCAGUUUAAGUGAACUAAAGGUCUGCACUUGCAAUUGAAAUAAACCUUGAACCUUGUAGAUGCCCCUGUUUGAUAUAAUAACCUCGUUUUCUUAAUUUCUGCCCUUGAUUAAAUUAAUGUAUGGAACCAAUAAAAUAUGAAUUUUCACUUUAA